This is a long non-coding RNA of Amphimedon queenslandica, 1021 nucleotides long. RefSeq lists it as uncharacterized. The record is from RefSeq and is a predicted model, not a curated record. The transcript is spliced from 4 exons. Lineage: Eukaryota; Metazoa; Porifera; Demospongiae; Haplosclerida; Niphatidae.
UUAAUGCCAAAUAUUCAAACUAUUGAUCCCCUAAGGAGAGGAACACAUUUGUAACGCUAAGACAUACAAACUAUGGAUCCCCUUUUUUAAAACAAAGGUGUGGAACUAGUAUGUGCGUGAGACGUCAACAUAAACACAAACACUCAUUUUUGUUUAAAACUUAUUAACUCAAAAGAGAAGGCCCGAGAGAAAGUGAGAGGACUGAUGAUAAAAAUGUGUGGGAGGAGAAUACCGAAAUAGAAGUUAUUGCGUCAUUCACAGCCUAUCAAAGAACACCAAGUGUCACCUGUGACCUUUAGGAUAUAAAAUAAGACACCUGAAACUGUAAGUUCAAAAUCAAAAAGUAAUGGCUGCCCCAAUAGAGUAUGUCCUCAUUGAGGUCCAUCCAUCUGAUGGUAAGUUGGGAAUGUGUAACCCUAUAGUUAUAACUAUAAUGCCUUUUGUUUUUGGUAAAUGAACUUGGUAAGUUGUUGGUACAUGUAUGUUUGUGUUGUACAUUAAAAGCAAAAAAUAAUUGUAUUUAUAGCAGAAAAAGAUGAAGUAAGGGUGAAAGAGACGAAAGGAGACAGAGGAGAGAGGACAGAGGAGAAGGGGGACAGAGACAAAGAGGAGGGUGGAGAUAGUCAAAAGAAGAAUGAUAAGAUUAAAAGGUUAAACAUACAACUAUACAUGACAUUGUUUUUAAUAGAAUCAAACGGCUUAAGUAUGUUUGUUUACAUGUGUAAUUGUGUUGUUGUGAAGUAGCUAUGAGAAGGACUAUUAAGCUAAAAAGCAAGAAGAAAGAAGGAAGGCCUUUAGACUUGGAACAGUUCAGGCCUGCUCUCCAAAGUAAACUUAAUUUUAAGUGUAAAUUAAAGGCUUUAUGCCAUUGUAAUUUAGGGCAGUUGGAACUCAUUGAAGAGGGCAGGAGGGAGAGGAUGGGGAGUAGUGAGGAGAUGGGAGAAGAAACAGAGACAGGGAAGAGACAGAGACAGGCGAGGAGACAGGGACAGGAGAAGAGACUGGGACAGGGACAGAGAGA